UGGGGAAUAUUGCACAAUGGGCGAAAGCCUGGUGCAGCAACGCCGCGUGAGUGAUGAAGGCCUUCGGGUUGUAAAGCUCUGUCUUCUGGGACGAUAAUGACGGUACCAGAGGAGGAAGCCACGGCUAACUACGUGCCAGCAGCCGCGGUAAUACGUAGGUGGCAAGCGUUGUCCGGAUUUACUGGGCGUAAAGGAUGCGUAGGCGGAUACUUAAGUCAGAUGUGAAAAUCCCGGGCUUAACUUGGGAACUGCAUUUGAAACUGGGUAUCUAGAGUGCGGGAGAGGAAAGUGGAACUCCUAGUGUAGCGGUGAAAUGCGUAGAGAUUAGGAAGAACACCAGUGGCGAAGGCGACUUUCUGGACCGUAACUGACGCUGAGGCAUGAAAGCGUGGGGAGCAAACA
This 402-nucleotide ribosomal RNA is filed under the name uncultured bacterium. Its description in RNAcentral is "bacterial SSU rRNA". It matches the Rfam family "Bacterial small subunit ribosomal RNA", at positions 355 to 774 of the family's 1533-position model. The record is from RNAcentral.